AAGCUGCAAGAGAACGAGAAACCUGUAGAUAAUUGGCAAGCCAAACAGUUAACCCGAAGUCAUAACAUAAAAACUUGUAAUGUUUAACCUUUGGAUAAUUGACAUAUAUAGCCUAACCUAAUAUCUACCAUCUGUCCCUAUGAUUUCCUUGUUACUACCUAACUUUUUUCCAUUUUUAAUGAAAAAUUUCUCUCAAACUUCAAAUGCUAUCUAAUUUUCCUAGUUCCUCACAUUUCUUUCUACAUUACAGUAUGCUACAUGUACAUAUGCAAAUGCAUGUUAGAUGACUAUCUUGUUAGCAAUACAUCUAAUCAACUAUUUACGACCUUGAAGGUAGUAUUUUUGAGCUUAGCAUGCCUCUGCCUACUUUUUGCCAUCACAAUUUGAUCAUUUCUCUUGUAACAUAUACCACAUACUUGGUUAAAUUUUGCAUAUACGUGUUGUGUUCAUUAUUUUGUUAUUUCUCAUCAUUAUGAUUUCCCUCCAUCCUCACUUCCACUAGCAUAAUACUAGACAACUAUUUCUAAAGGGGUAAAUUACUAUAACGCUCCUAAUUAUGUCAAAAUUUAUUAGUUGGUCCCUAAACGUUUAAAAGGCAAUUAGUCCUUCCGUCUAAUUUUCUAUGAUUUUCGUGAGUCAAAGUCAAUAGCUAGAUGCCCAAGUCCAAGGAAAGAGAAAAUUAUUUUAUCCUCAAAAUGCCCUUGUAUUUUAUCCUGUUGUGCACUUGUAUACUUCGAAGGAGCCUACCUGUCUUAAUACUCUGAAACUUUAUCCAUCUUUUAUUCUAUUAAUAAUCCUUCCUUUGUCUAGUUAAUAACACCACAAAGUCCUAGUGAGUUCAAUAAGCCCAUUGGGCUAGAAGUUUCUCAAGCUCAAAAGUCUUAUCUUUAUUUUAUAAUUAGAAACCAAGGUGAUGCAGUCAAGGAAAUUCAGAUUUAGGAAUUAUUUUGAUUUA
Molecule: unclassified non-coding RNA, 955 nt
Filed under: Hevea brasiliensis (rubber tree)
Lineage: Eukaryota; Viridiplantae; Streptophyta; Magnoliopsida; Malpighiales; Euphorbiaceae
Source: RNAcentral